ACGCAGCACGUAUUCGCUGAGUACGUACGAAUGUAUUGUUGUGUAGUUGCUUGCGCCGUUCGAUUCGCAUUUUGUUUAUUACCCGAUGGCAGAAGUUAAAAAAAAAUGCCUACAAAUAUUGUAUUGUUCCUAUGUGUCAAAGCACAACAGUUAAAAAUCCCAAUAAUUUUUUUUUUCGUGUACCAAAUAAUAUAACAACAAGGAAAAAGUGGUGCAAAGUAAUGAAGCGUGAUUAAUUGGCCCUAAAAGCACGAAAUAUGUGUGUGAAGAUCAUUUUGAUACAAGUAACUAUUAAUAAUAGGUGCCUGUUUCUGAUCGAUAUAGCUAUUGAAUCGUUGAAAAUGACAGAAAAUUUAGUUGAACAUCGACUAGUUGGGGGAACAUUGAAGUUAAAAGCCAACAUAUGUCCUCAUAAAUUUGACUGUCAAAAGGCGAUGAAACCUCAAAAAGAACGAGUAGCGUAUGAAAAAAGACGUCGAAUUUAAUUUUAUGAAAAUCUAUUAACAAAAGAAGUACCAUCGACUUCAAGUCAAUCAUCUUCGUUUCAAUCUUUUGAAAUGAUUGUGUGUGAUGAAAUGGAGUUAGAUGAAAUAGAGGAUCCGCUACCAGAGAGCAUUAUUUUUACAGAAUCAGAUAAUCAUCCCAAUAAAAAGAGAAACAAAGGAGUUCAAGUAAAUAUGAAAACGUCACAGAAAAAUCAAGCAGUGCAAACAAUUGUAAGGAGGAACAGUGCGAAAAAUACAGGAAAUAAAUACUCCCAAAUUGUUUGUGAAUCUCCUCAGCACUCUCCAUCGAGAAUAUCGAUAUCUUCUCUAAGCAGUUCUCAAUCAAAAACAUCAAUAUUUUCACUGAACAGUACAAGUUCAGCUAGCUCCUUCUCAAACACAAUCAAGCCUCAAUAUUGCAAUGAUACCAUAAACAAAAUAACUAAAAACG
Diorhabda carinulata is the source of this 936-nucleotide long non-coding RNA. RefSeq lists it as uncharacterized. The record is from RefSeq and is a predicted model, not a curated record. The transcript has 2 exons. NCBI's taxonomy places the organism in Eukaryota, Metazoa, Arthropoda, Insecta, Coleoptera, Chrysomelidae.